GUAAAAGUCGUAACAAGGUUUUCGUAGGUGAACCUGCGGAAGGAUCAUUAAUGAAUACACAAGAGUGCUCGCAAGAGGCUCGUUUCAUUUAAUCACACACACUUUGUGCACUUGAAAUCAGCUGUCUGAACCUUUCGGGGUGAUGCGGCUCCUUUCACACACUUUGCUAUUGAAGGAUCACGAAUGUAAAUUCAUAACAAACGAAAGUACAACUUUCAGCAACGGAUUUCUUGGCUCUCGCAUCGAUGAAGAACGCAGCGAAAUGCGAUACGUAAUGUGAAUUGCAGAACUCAGUGAAUCAUCGAAUUUUUGAACGCACCUUGCACUCUUUGGUUAUUCCGAAGAGUAUGCUUGUUUGAGUGUCGCGAAAUUCUCAACCCCGCCAAGGGCUUUAUUGACUUUGGUUGUUUGGGCUUGGAUCUUGGUUGUUUGCCGUAUGCUUAGGCUCUGGCUCGACUUAAGUACAGCAAGCUGAAUGAACGCACUAAUGCGGUUUGACCUGAUGUUGUAGUUACAAUUCAUCGGGGACGCACAUAGAAGGUUCAACGAGCUUUAACAAAUUUAACAUUGGACUUGUCCAGUGCAUUAUGACCUCAAAUCAAGUAGGACUACCCGCUGAACUUAAGCAUAUCAAUAAGCGGAGGAAAAGAAACUAACAAGGAUUCCCCUAGUAACGGCGAGUGAAGUGGGAAGAGCUCAACUUUGUAAUCUGGCUGUUUUGCAGUCCGAGUUGUAGUCUAGAGAAGCAGUGUCCGCGCAGGCCCUUAUAUAUUUCAGUUGGAAUGCCGAGUCAUAGAGGGUGAGAAUCCCGUACAUGAUAAGGAGGCCUUGUGCAUUGUGAUGCGCUUUCAAAGAGUCGAGUUGUUUGGGAAUGCAGCUCAAAUUGGGUGGUAAAUUCCAUCUAAAGCUAAAUAUUGGCGAGAGACCGAUAGCGAACAAGUACCGUGAGGGAAAGAUGAAAAGCACUUUGGAAAGAGAAUGAAAUAGUACAUGAAAUUGCUGAAAGGGAAACGAUUGAAGUCAGACUUGCGCGGUUGGUAUUCAGCCUUGAUUUCGAUCUUGGUGCAUUUGCCUUCCAUUGCAGGCCAACAUCAGUUUACUUCGCUGUAAAAGGGUUUGGGGAAUGUGGCUCUUUCGGGAGUGUUAUAGCCCCUUGCUGGAUGCAGAGUCGUGGACUGAGGANNNCAGCGCCCCUUUUAGGCGAGGCUUUCGGGCUUUGAGCGCUAAGGAUGUUGGUUGAAUGGCUUUAAACGACC
This 1256-nucleotide ribosomal RNA is filed under the name uncultured fungus. Its description in RNAcentral is "eukaryotic LSU rRNA". The stretch from base 589 to 1256 matches the Rfam family "Eukaryotic large subunit ribosomal RNA", at positions 1 to 649 of the family's 3401-position model. Lineage: Eukaryota; Fungi. The record is from RNAcentral.